RNAcentral lists this transfer RNA (72 nucleotides) under Prevotella sp. P3-92. Its description in RNAcentral is "tRNA-Thr". It matches the Rfam family "tRNA". Rfam says of the family: Transfer RNA (tRNA) molecules are approximately 80 nucleotides in length. Their secondary structure includes four short double-helical elements and three loops (D, anti-codon, and T loops). Lineage: Bacteria; Pseudomonadati; Bacteroidota; Bacteroidia; Bacteroidales; Prevotellaceae. The record is from RNAcentral.
GCUGUUAUAACUCAGUGGUAGAGCACUUCCUUGGUAAGGAAGAGGUCCCGAGUUCAAGUCUCGGUAACAGCU